UACGGAGGGGGCGAGCGUUAUUCGGAAUUAUUGGGCGUAAAGGGCGCGUAGGCGGCUGUACAAGUCAAAGGUGAAAUCCCUCGGCUCAACUGAGGAACUGCCUUUGAAACUGUACGGCUUGAGGCCGGGAGGGGGUAGCGGAAUUCCCAGUGUAGCGGUGAAAUGCGUAGAUACUGGGAGGAACACCAGUGGCGAAGGCGGCUACCUGGACCGGUUCUGACGCUGAGGCACGAAAGCGUGGGGAGCAAACAGG
This 253-nucleotide ribosomal RNA is filed under the name uncultured bacterium. RNAcentral describes it as "partial 16S ribosomal RNA". It matches the Rfam family "Bacterial small subunit ribosomal RNA", at positions 524 to 776 of the family's 1533-position model. The record is from RNAcentral.